This 301-nucleotide ribosomal RNA is filed under the name uncultured bacterium. RNAcentral's name for it is "partial 16S ribosomal RNA". It matches the Rfam family "Bacterial small subunit ribosomal RNA", at positions 509 to 807 of the family's 1533-position model. The record is from RNAcentral.
CAGCAGCCGCGGUAACACGUAGGUGGCAAGCGUUGUCCGGAAUUAUUGGGCGUAAAGGGCUCGCAGGCGGUUUCUUAAGUCUGAUGUGAAAGCCCCCGGCUCAACCGGGGAGGGUCGUUGGAAACUGGGAAACUUGAGUGCAGAAGAGGAGAGUGGAAUUCCACGUGUAGCGGUGAAAUGCGUAGAGAUGUGGAGGAACACCAGUGGCGAAGGCGACUCUCUGGUCUGUAACUGACGCUGAGGAGCGAAAGCGUGGGGAGCGAACAGGAUUAGAGACCCCCGUAGUCCCUGUCUCUUAUAC